Molecule: ribosomal RNA, 497 nt
Filed under: uncultured bacterium
Lineage: Bacteria
Description: partial 16S ribosomal RNA
Rfam family: Bacterial small subunit ribosomal RNA
Source: RNAcentral
GAUGAACGCUGGCGGCGUGCCUAAUACAUGCAAGUCGAGCGAACGGACGAGAAGCUUGCUUCUCUGAUGUUAGCGGCGGACGGGUGAGUAACACGUGGAUAACCUACCUAUAAGACUGGGAUAACUUCGGGAAACCGGAGCUAAUACCGGAUGAUAUUUUGAACCGCAUGGUUCAAAAGUGAAAGGCGGUCUUGCUGUCACUUAUAGAUGGAUCCGCGCUGCAUUAGCUAGUUGGUAAGGUAACGGCUUACCAAGGCAACGAUGCAUAGCCGACCUGAGAGGGUGAUCGGCCACACUGGAACUGAGACACGGUCCAGACUCCUACGGGAGGCAGCAGUAGGGAAUCUUCCGCAAAGGGCGAAAGCCUGACGGAGCAACGCCGCGUGAGUGAUGAAGGUCUUCGGAUCGUAAAACUCUGUUAUUAGGGAAGAACAUAUGUGUAAGUAACUGUGCACAUCUUGACGGUACCUAAUCAGAAAGCCACGGCUAACUACGUG